This is a long non-coding RNA of Coturnix japonica (Japanese quail), 1431 nucleotides long. Lineage: Eukaryota; Metazoa; Chordata; Aves; Galliformes; Phasianidae. The record is from Ensembl.
GAAAUAUCUUUCCUUGAGAAAAUUGGUAGGGAUUUGGUCAAUGGACUUGAUGGAGCCAAAAUAUUUCACCCAAGAACUUAAGGGAUUAGAACAAGCUUCAUAAACACUGUACUCUUUCUCCCAAACUGUGGUCCAUGGGCUGUGGGCCUUUUUUUUUCUGAGCCAUGUAAGGAACUGCAUCCACUAAUACCAUUUAUUCCCACAAAUUUCUAACUAUCCUAUCAAUUGUUUCAUUUUCUAGAUGUCUGCAAAAACUAAAGAUAUUUUCCAGCCAUUACCAUGCUCUCAAGCCACAAGCUCAAAAGCAAGAGAUGAUACAAAAGCAGUGCAGCACGAGGAUAUUUACCUCCUGUGUUGGUACUGGAGAUCUUACAUGGUCAAAUCUGAAAAGAAGAUAUCCUUAAGUGAAAUCAAGACAGACGUUGCAUGUGUGAGAUGUCUGAGAAGUUCUCACAUGCCAUGCAGGUGUUUACCAACCUUCUGGACCAAAUGUGUGAGAAGAGUGUUAGGUGAGACUGUGUUAGCUGCUGUUCAGAAACACAGCAAAAGAGGUGUACAACUGUGAUAUUGUGUUGAAUUGGUUGGGAAAAAAAAAAAAAAAGGCUAUGUAUGGAGGGGAAAGAAGAAUCACUUUUUUCCUUUUGAGAAUGGAGAGCUGAGGUUUAGCUUUCUAAGCCUUUGGUGAAACCUGAGGUUGUAUUCUCAAAGCAUCUCAGCCCCCAUCACACUUUGAGAUAAGGCUUCUCAGCCAUAAAACACAAAGUUAUUUGUGAAAUUUGUGUUGAAGAGAUUUGCUCAAGGAUAAAGGUCUUUCUUCGGGGACUCUAACAUCAAAUCCUUUAGAAUCCUUUCAGACCCUAAGAGCUCUGCUUCUGUAGCAAUAUCCACAAACCAAAGGAGGAUGCCACAAUCUGGGUUGCCAAUUUGAUAUCAUUAAAAUUCUAAAUUACAAUUCUCCCUUAGCACCUGGUCAUUUCCCAGGUACACCAAUUGGGCCAGAUCUAGGAUGGAAAUGACAUUUUCUGUAAUGGUUUGUUUGGUUUUACACUGUACAUUAAGCCCAACCCUAAAGAAAACCAUGGCACUAAAGCUCCAUUAACUAUAAAGAACGGUGAUUCAUUUUUUUUGCCCUUCAAAUGAGAAAAGGUCUUGAGUAGAGUUAAAGAAGAUGCACAGCAUUGUCAUGAGCACUUCCUGAUGGAGCUAUACUUUAGCCCACAGUGGGUUUCCUGGGUUGAUCCUUACUUAUCUGCCAUGUUUUGAUGGUAUAGCUGAUGGCUGCCUACUUGCCUACAUUUCCAUUUAUUGCUUUCUUCUAGCACAGACCCAGCUCCUAUUCCCAGAACAGAAAGAAUUGUGAUCUGGUUCUGAGAACUCAUGUCAGAAGUUAUAAUAUUUUGCAUUUGCUAAUAAACUUUGAAAAACCUCCCA